UAUUAAAGGCAACGCCUGCCCAGUGAACAAUUUAACGGCCGCGGUACCCUAACCGUGCAAAGGUAGCACAAUCACUUGUCUAUUAAUUGUAGACCUGUAUGAAAGGCAAAACGAGGGCCUAUCUGUCUCUUGUAGUAAAUCAAUUAAACUGAUCUCCCAGUCCAAAAGCUGGGAUACCAACAUAAGACCAGAAGACCCUGUGAAGCUUAAACUAAACUAUUAAAUCCUAUAAUAGCUCCUUUCGGUUGGGGCGACCCUGGAAAAAAAAAGAACUUCCAAACACGACCCAGCACAGCUGAUAACUGAACCAAGUUACUCCAGGGAUAACAGCGCUAUCUUCUUCAAGAGCCCAUAUCAAAAAGAAGGUUUACGACCUCGAUGUUGGAUCAGGACAUCCUAAUGGUGCAGCCGCUAUUAAGGGUUCGUUUGUUCAACGAUUAAC
Molecule: ribosomal RNA, 442 nt
Filed under: Naja kaouthia (monocled cobra)
Lineage: Eukaryota; Metazoa; Chordata; Lepidosauria; Squamata; Elapidae
Description: partial 16S ribosomal RNA
Rfam family: Bacterial large subunit ribosomal RNA
Source: RNAcentral